UUGUUGCCUUACCUCUCAUGUCUGUGCUUUCUCAAGUCAGCUUCAUGAUGUUAUUGAUGGGCGUGUCACUUUACGAUGCAAGAUGCUGGAGUAUGACAAUAUCUACCUGGUGAUGUGGACAAUUGAACAGAUAUUCACCAACAGCUUACGUAAAUCACCUUGUCCUCAAGAAGUAAAAGAACACCUAACUACUUUGAUGGAGGACAGUGUUGUUCAUAUCUCAAGAUCGUUUCCUGUUUUUGCCUCAUACAUUUGGCGUCUACAAGCUUUAAUUAUAGAAUAGUACUUAUAGUUAGAAAUUUUUCAACUUUUGUACAUGUAUAUUAAUGUAUUGAUGCUUUGUUUGAGCUUCCCAGUAUUACAAGGAAAUUAAUGAGAAGCGAAACUAUUUAUACAUAUCUGCAUCAAGGUUAAAUGAAUUAUUCAA
Exaiptasia diaphana is the source of this 427-nucleotide long non-coding RNA. RefSeq lists it as uncharacterized. The record is from RefSeq and is a predicted model, not a curated record. The transcript is spliced from 3 exons. NCBI's taxonomy places the organism in Eukaryota, Metazoa, Cnidaria, Anthozoa, Actiniaria, Aiptasiidae.